Molecule: ribosomal RNA, 555 nt
Filed under: uncultured bacterium
Lineage: Bacteria
Description: partial 16S ribosomal RNA
Rfam family: Bacterial small subunit ribosomal RNA
Source: RNAcentral
UAGGGAAUCUUCCACAAUGGACGCAAGUCUGAUGGAGCAACGCCGCGUGAGUGAAGAAGGUUUUCGGACCGUAAAGCUCUGUUGUUGGUGAAGAAGGAUAGAGGUAGUAACUGGCCUUUAUUUGACGGUAAUCAACCAGAAAGUCACGGCUAACUACGUGCCAGCAGCCGCGGUAAUACGUAGGUGGCAAGCGUUGUCCGGAUUUAUUGGGCGUAAAGCGAGCGCAGGCGGAAGAAUAAGUCUGAUGUGAAAGCCCUCGGCUUAACCGAGGAAUUGCAUCGGAAACUGUUUUUCUUGAGUGCAGAAGAGGAGAGUAGAACUCCAUGUGUAGCGGUGGAAUGCGUAGAUAUAUGGAAGAAUACCAGUGGCGAAGGCGGCUCUCUGGUCCGCAACUGACGCUGAGGCUCGAAAGCAUGGGUAGCGAACAGGAUUAGAUACCCUGGUAGUCCAUGCCGUAAACGAUGAGUGCUAAGUGUUGGGAGGCUUCCGCCUCUCAGUGCUGCAGCUAACGCAUUAAGCACUCCGCCUGGGGGAGUACGACCGCAAGGUUGAAAC